RNAcentral lists this ribosomal RNA (472 nucleotides) under uncultured bacterium. RNAcentral's name for it is "partial 16S ribosomal RNA". It matches the Rfam family "Bacterial small subunit ribosomal RNA", at positions 28 to 507 of the family's 1533-position model. The record is from RNAcentral.
GACGAACGCUGGCGGCGUGCUUAACACAUGCAAGUCGAACGCUGAAGCUUGGUCCUUGCCCUGUGUAGAUGAGUGGCGGACGGGUGAGUAAUACGUGAGUAACCUGCCCUUGACUCUGGGAUAAGCCUGGGAAACUGGAUCUAAUACUGGAUACGACAUGCCACUGCAUGGUGGUGUGUGGAAAGGGUUUUCCUGGUUUUGGAUGCGCUCACGGCCUAUGAGCUUGUUGGUGAGGUAAGGGCCUACCACGGCGACGACGGGUAGCCGGCCUGAGAGGGUGACCGGCCACACUGGGACUGAGACACGGCCCAGACGCCUACGUGAGGCAGCAGUGGGGAAUAGUGCACAAUGGGCGGAAGCCGGAUGCAGCGACGCCGCGUGGGGGAGGACGGCCGUCGGGUUGUAAACCUCUUUCAGCACGGAAGAAGCGAGAGUGACGGUACGUGCAGAAGAAGCGCCGGCUAACUACGUG